RNAcentral lists this ribosomal RNA (584 nucleotides) under Bisbaumannia salifodinae. RNAcentral describes it as "bacterial SSU rRNA". It matches the Rfam family "Bacterial small subunit ribosomal RNA", at positions 162 to 726 of the family's 1533-position model. The record is from RNAcentral. Lineage: Bacteria; Pseudomonadati; Pseudomonadota; Gammaproteobacteria; Oceanospirillales; Halomonadaceae.
GCUAAUACCGCAUACGUCCUACGGGAGAAAGCAGGGGAUCUUCGGACCUUGCGCUAUCGGAUGAGCCUAUGUCGGAUUAGCUAGUUGGUGAGGUAACGGCUCACCAAGGCGACGAUCCGUAGCUGGUCUGAGAGGAUGAUCAGCCACACUGGGACUGAGACACGGCCCAGACUCCUACGGGAGGCAGCAGUGGGGAAUAUUGGACAAUGGGGGAAACCCUGAUCCAGCCAUGCCGCGUGUGUGAAGAAGGCCUUCGGGUUGUAAAGCACUUUCAGCGAGGAAGAAGGCCUGAGGAAGAAGGCCUGAGGGCUAAUACCCUUCAGGAAGGACAUCACUCGCAGAAGAAGCACCGGCUAACUCCGUGCCAGCAGCCGCGGUAAUACGGAGGGUGCGAGCGUUAAUCGGAAUUACUGGGCGUAAAGCGCGCGUAGGUGGCUUGAUAAGCCGGUUGUGAAAGCCCCGGGCUCAACCUGGGAACGGCAUCCGGAACUGUCAGGCUAGAGUGCAGGAGAGGAAGGUAGAAUUCCCGGUGUAGCGGUGAAAUGCGUAGAGAUCGGGAGGAAAUACCAGUGGCGAAGGCGGCC